UACGGAGGGUGCAAGCGUUAUCCGGAUUCACUGGGUUUAAAGGGUGCGUAGGUGGGUUGGUAAGUCAGUGGUGAAAUCUCCGAGCUUAACUUGGAAACUGCCAUUGAUACCAUCAGUCUUGAAUACCGUGGAGGUCAGCGGAAUAUGUCAUGUAGCGGUGAAAUGCUUAGAUAUGACAUAGAACACCAAUUGCGAAGGCAGCUGACUACGCGAAUAUUGACACUGAUGCACGAAAGCGUGGGGAUCAAACAGG
RNAcentral lists this ribosomal RNA (253 nucleotides) under uncultured bacterium. Its description in RNAcentral is "partial 16S ribosomal RNA". It matches the Rfam family "Bacterial small subunit ribosomal RNA", at positions 524 to 776 of the family's 1533-position model. The record is from RNAcentral.